Molecule: long non-coding RNA, 3456 nt
Organism: Sphaeramia orbicularis (orbiculate cardinalfish)
Lineage: Eukaryota; Metazoa; Chordata; Actinopteri; Kurtiformes; Apogonidae
Exons: 2
Source: RefSeq, a predicted model, not a curated record
CAGACACGGGGAGAACAUACAAACUCCACACAGAAAGGUCCCACCCCUCGUCAACUGGUGUUGGAAUCGAACCCAGGACCUUCUUUCUGUGAGGUACAAGUGCUAACCACUGUACCACCAUGUUGCCGCUCUUCACCAUAAACAGUCCAAUUGGUUACGAACAGAGUUGGUUGGUCACUCGGGCGUUUUCGGAAAUUUGUCGCAACAUGCAUUGUGAGAAGCGGAGUUCCACGCAGCCACUGUAGUAAGAGGCAAUGAAGCUGUUUCGUCACCAAUCUGUCAUCAGAUCUGUAAAACCUGAGUCAUUGCCUAAGUAUCACAAAUUCGUAAGUCUUUUUGUGAUUACGCACCUGAGUGUCUUCCCUCACGGUGAACAGUUUCGAAAUGUACUUCACCAUAAACAGUCCAGUUGGUUACGAAUAGAGGUGGUAGUUCACGCAGGCCUUUUCGGAAAUUUGUCGCAAUGUGCAGUUUGAGAAGCGGAGUUCUGUGCAGCCGCAGUAGCAAGAGGCAAUGAAGCCGUUUCCGCUGCGGCCAAAUGCGAAUGGGUCAAAACACAGUCAUGUCCCGUCAGAGAGCGAAAUUUAAUUGAUUGCCAUUCCAACAUUCAUUUCAAUAUAAAGUAGCUCCUUGUUUUAGAUAAUCCCUCAUAAUCCAACUAACACAAAAAUGAAUUUAAAAGUAAAAAUGUGGGUCAUUUAUUUGUAUUUUGUAUUUAUUUAUUUAGUUACAGGACAGUAUGUAUUGGCAUUAGUUACAGAGAACAAGAUGGAUACACCAGAUUUAGCAGAGAAGCUAAUUUCCAUCUGUUGUCCUGGACAAACGACUAACAUAACAAAACAUCACUUAGAUUGCAAAGUCAUAAUAUAGUGGAAGAAGACCGUUAAACAUGACAGGUACAGGAAAGUCUGCUCAGAUUGAACGGCUUCAGCCAAAUACAAAACACGGAGCUUACAUUCUAAAAAUACACUAACUUACCUAGAGCAAGAGUAAGAUAUAAAAGAUAGAAUGAGAAGGAGAGAAGAAGAGAGAGAGAAGGAAAAAAAGAGAGCAAGAAGAAUAAACAAAUAAACAGAUAAAUAAGCUAAUUGUGCAAUUGCAAACCAGACAUAGAAAAAAGUACAAGUAAAAGCUAUUGGGCUGAAAACUUAGCAACACUACAACACAACAAAAACUUCAGCAACACUAAUCUGUCAAAUUGUCUCUAAAAUGUCCCAUCAGAGAGCUUUCAAAUACCAUGUUUUGACCCAGCUACAGAUGGAUUGUUUAUGGUUGAGUACACUUCGAAAUUGUUCACCGUGAGGGAAGAGAUUCAGGCGCAUAAUCACGGAAAGACUUACAGAUUCGUGAUAGAUUUGACGAAAAACUGGCGACGAAAGUCAUACGUAGCCAGUUUUUCAUCAGAUCUAUCAAAAAUCUAUCGCUUCAUUGCCUCCGCUUCUCGCAGUGCACGUCAUGACAAAUUUCCGAAAAUGCCUGAGUGACCUACCGCCUCUGUUUGUAAACAAAUAGACUCUUUAUGGUGGAGUACACUUCAAAAUUGUUCACCGUGAGGGACGAGAUUCAGGUGCAUAAUCACGGAAAGACUUCCAGAUCCGUGAUAGAUUUGACGAAAAACUGGCGACUAAAGUCAUACGCAGCCAGUUUUUCAUCAGAUCUAUCAAAAAUCUGUCGCUUCAUUACCUCCGCUUCUCACAAUGCACGUCAUGACAAAUUUCCAAAAAUGCCUGAGUGACCUACCGCCUCUGUUUGUAAACAAAUAGACUGUUGAUGGUGGAGUACACCUCGAAAUUUGUCAGUGUGAGGGAAGAGAUUCAAAUGUGUAAUCACAGAAAGACUUAUGGAUUCGUGAUUUGAUGAAAACCUGGUGACAGAAGUCAUACGCAGCCAGUUUUUCAUCAAAUUUAUCACAAAUCUAUCGCUUCAUUGCCUCUCGCUACUUCAGCUGUGUAGAACUCCUUUUCUCACAGUGCACAUCGUGACAAAUUUCCGAAAAUGCCCGAGUGACCUACCGCCUCUGUUUGCAAACAAAUGGACUGUUUAUGAUGGAAAUUGAGGGAAGGGAUUCAGGCGCAUAAUCACGGAAAGACUUACAGAUUCGUGAUAGAUUUGACGAAAAACUGGCGACGAAAGUCAUACGUAGCCAGUUUUUCAUCAGAUCUAUCAAAAAUCUAUCGCUUCAUUGCCUCCGCUUCUUGCAGUCAUGACAAAUUUCCGAAAAUGCCUGAGUGACCUACCUAAACAAAUAAACUGUUUAUGGUGGAGUACACUUCGAAAUGGUUCAGUGUGAGGGAAGAGAUUCAGAUGCGUAAUCACGGAAAGACUUACAGAUUCGUGAUAGAUUUGAUGAAAAACUGGCAACGAAAGUCAUACGCAGCUUUAAGUAUCAGUAUUCACCAGCAGUAUUAUGUGAGUAAAAUAAAAGGGUAUUUUGUUACAGGUUCCACAAAGCUGACAUCGGAGGUUAUCGGUUCAUGGUAACAAUAUGUUUACAUUCAGAACCUUUCUGGUUGAGACACAAAAGGUUUUCAAACUUUCCCUUAAGUCUGUUGCACAAUCAUUUAUAUCCCACUACAGUUACUGCUCUGAGAAUUUACAUACAAGCUGAUUAUAUUAACCUCCAUAAUCUCAUUUCUGAGUAGUUUUUUGCACCUGUCUUUACAAACUGUGAAAUAUUGGUUCCCGAUUUAGAACAUUUGUACUUGCUGCUAAAAUGUUUGAUUUUUUUUUUUGUUAACAUAAAGUAAAACACAUAUAAAUGCUACAUUGAGACAGUAUUCUGUGAUGCCAUUAUUUUUUUGUUUAGCAUACUUGCAUUGUUUGUGACUAGUUGGUUGAUAUAAUAUGACUCAGUUGAAAAGGCCUCUGAAACAGUUUAAUCAGAUGAAAUCUCCUUCGACCGUCGGCUGUUUCUUUUACCCAUAGACGUGACUAUUCCUGCCUUCGUUGUUGCUGUCUAGCCAUGAAAUUGUAUCACUUCUUAUUCGUUUGAAGGGAUAUGUUCAUGUACUUUCGUAUGACUUGUAUUUCAUAUGGUUUUAUUGUGAAUUCUCUUGAUUGUCCAGCAUGUUUUGCCAUAAUGUGUAGUGUCUAACUUUAUCUUUCAUAUAUUUGCCAUAACUGUAACGUACUGUAUUGCACAAUGCCAUAUACUGCACACUUAUUGUUUUGUAACAUUUUGUCUUUUGUUGUACAACCUCGUAGUACAUCUUGGCACUUUGCUUUUAUGUAUAUUUUAUUUUCAGUAAUCCGUUGGUUAAAACUGGACGGCAUUUUGUUUUUGCCUUCGACCUUAGAUUUAACACCUGUUGCUUAUUGAUAAUUUCUUUUAUCUUGUCAACAAAAUAUGGGAAAUGCAAAGGUUAAACACUAAUGGGUGUUGUGUUUCUUUUCCUUUCUGUGUACAAAGCAGUCCCAAGAAAUGACUUCUGUAUAACAUUAAAUAAUUACAGUAAA